This 227-nucleotide ribosomal RNA is filed under the name uncultured bacterium. RNAcentral's name for it is "partial 16S ribosomal RNA". It matches the Rfam family "Bacterial small subunit ribosomal RNA", at positions 118 to 344 of the family's 1533-position model. The record is from RNAcentral.
UGAGCAAUCUGCCCUUCACAUCGGAAUAACCAUUGGAAACGAUGGCUAAUACCGAAUAUGACUUCGGAUCGCAUGAUCUGAAGUGGAAAGCUCCGGCGGUGAAGGAUGAGCUCGCGGCCUACCAGCUUGUUGGUGAGGUAAUAGCUCACCAAGGCGAUGACGGGUAGCCGGCCUGAGGAGGGUCGACCGGCCACACGUGGGACUGAGACACCGGCCCAGACCUCCGG